RNAcentral lists this transfer RNA (67 nucleotides) under Anadara antiquata. RNAcentral describes it as "tRNA-Gly". Lineage: Eukaryota; Metazoa; Mollusca; Bivalvia; Arcoida; Arcidae. The record is from RNAcentral.
CACCGGGAAGUAUUGUUUGUAUGUGUGCCUUCCAAGCACAGGGCCUGAUAGGUUUCAGUCUGGUGAC